RNAcentral lists this ribosomal RNA (282 nucleotides) under uncultured fungus. RNAcentral describes it as "partial small subunit ribosomal RNA". The stretch from base 160 to 282 matches the Rfam family "Eukaryotic small subunit ribosomal RNA", at positions 742 to 865 of the family's 1831-position model. Lineage: Eukaryota; Fungi. The record is from RNAcentral.
GGUUCGGCCGGGUGGUCUCACCUAAUUGGGUGAGUACUACUCCCCAGUGCUGUGUGCGUCGUUUGCCUCCGGGCAGGCGAUGUUCAUGGUACUGUGGUUUGGUCGGACCUCACCUUCCUAGGCUGCCGGUGUGCCCUUUGCUGGGUGUGCCGUGUCACGUCUUGGACGUUUACCUUGAAAAAAUUAGAGUGUUCAAAGCAGGCAUUUUCGCCUGAAUAUAUUAGCAUGGAAUAAUGAAAUAGGACCACGGUUCUACUUUGUUGGUUUGGUAGGACUGAGGUA